AGUUAAUGAACUUGAAAAAGUAUAUACUUUGAAAGUAUAAGAAAAGUGUACAACCACUUAUUAACUU
RNAcentral lists this transfer RNA (67 nucleotides) under Acmaeodera sp. RUGACM01. Its description in RNAcentral is "tRNA-Ser". Lineage: Eukaryota; Metazoa; Arthropoda; Insecta; Coleoptera; Buprestidae. The record is from RNAcentral.